Peromyscus maniculatus bairdii (prairie deer mouse) is the source of this 2190-nucleotide non-coding RNA. The record is from RefSeq and is a predicted model, not a curated record. Lineage: Eukaryota; Metazoa; Chordata; Mammalia; Rodentia; Cricetidae.
UUGUUGUUUGCUGUUUUGCAGUACUGGAGAUUGAGCCUAUGGCCAUGUGCAUGCUGCCCAAGCUCUCAGCCACUGAGCACGUUCUCAGCCCUCUUGUGAUGUUAUGUGAUGUUAUUUUGAGGCGGGGUCUCAGUUGCCCAGACUGGCCGGUAACCCCUCUGUAGCUCUGGCAGCCUUUCAGCUUCUGAUCCUCUGGCUUCUGUCUUUGGAGAAGCUGGGAUGUGAGACCUGCCCCACCAGGCUGGGCUUCUGGGACUUUAUUUGAUAAAAGGGAGCAACAGAUGCAAAGGCCCCGUGGUUGGAGCAUCCUGAGGGAGAACUAAGGAGACGCCAGCCAAGAAGGGGAUUCACAGGCCUGGGACUGAAGGUGCAGGAUUUAAACCGAGGGACGAUAUACAAGCAGCCGUGUCCACUGAUAAAGAAGAGUCAAGCAUGCCCCGAAAUGUUUCAGCCUGAACAACUAUAAACCCUCUAGUUCGUGUCGGUGGAAAAAGAGAAGUGGUCCAAAGUCGGAACCACAGGGCACCCUGCGCCUUGGGCCACUGAACUUGGAGACACCAGUGGGAAAGAUCGAAAGGGCACCGGUGACGGGUGUGAGAGCAGAAACACGGUGACUCGCCAGGGCACUUCCCAGAGGAGGGACAGCAGUGUCUAAGCUGGAUGAGGACUCCCAGGGGUCGCUGCAUUUGGCGUAGGCGGUGGGGAGGGUACACGCCCUGGGGGCCAUGUCCUGAGCCUAGACCAAGCUCAGAAGGAGCGGAGAUGAGCCAGAGGCUUCUAAUAGUGCGUCCUGCCUGACUGCCGGAGAAUAAUCAUCCUUUACGUCCCGAGUAAUGAGCCCGCAGCUCGGCAAGAGUCAGAGUCACCAAAGAACACAAAUUGCAUUCGGUGGGAUUUCAGAUGUGACAGCUGCUUUGUGCUUGGCAUGGCAGACCAAGGACUGGAUGUGAUCAGAGGCCAGCAGAGGACACCCCAGCCACAAGGUGAGGGGAGAGACCAGCAGAGGACACCCCGGCCGCAAGAAAGCAAACAUAUGUAAAGCUUUGCCCAAGAGGAAGAAAAGCUGAGUGUGACUGUUAUACUCCGGAUUAAAACUUCCCUGUCAGACUCCAGACCUCCGGGCGUCCACUGAGAGGCACCAGCUGAGACUCUGAUGGACUGGAAACAGAGGCAAGAGAGAAAAGGGCAAUGUCACAGUUGUGCCGUCCGCAUGGAUGGCCACUGUUUCCAUGUCCUGCUGGGGGAAGCGGGUGGCAGAGCCAAGUGCCUCUCACAGGCCUCUAGUGGCACCACACACACACAUGGAGCUGGCCCGUGGACUGACUCAGCACCUCAAAACAAGCAAAGGUUCACUGCUGCAUUUAAUCUCACUGCAACCCGGGGGCACGGUACUAUUUUUAAAAUAAAACACAUUAUUGUAAUUAGCCCACAAACAAAACGAUCACAAAGCUGCUUUAAGGACGUGAGGUGAUGUGAAUGAGAUGUCCUUCAUAGUCUCCCGUGGACACUUCGACCCUGGUCCCCAGUUGCUGUUUGGGGAGCCUAGGGAGGUGCGGCCUUGCGGGAGGUGGUGUGUCACUGGAGGUGGGCUUUGUUCUCUCUGCUUGCCGAUCCAGCUGUGACCCUCAGCUUUCUGUGCCAGUUGUGAUGCCUGCGCUCCACCAUCAUGGACUCUAACUCUUUCUACUCUAAGCUGCCCUGGUCAUGAGGUUUCAUCAGAGCAAUAGAAAGCUGCCUAAUUCAGGAGCCAUUCAGACACCUGCCCCGCCCCAAUCUAUACAUCUCAGUGGACUUCUAUACGGUGAGAAUGGCCAUUCCAAAGCAAUAAAGCGACACUUGAGGUUUAAACUUUCACUCUCAAUUACGUUAUUAUUCACUUAUCCACCACAAAAAGAUAGAGAAUGAAAGAAACCAUGAUAGAGUUGAAGCUUGAAAAAAAAAAUCCUUUAUAUUCUUUAUAUACUAUUUUAAUCACCAUUGUAUCUGUGAGCAAUCAGGUUUACAGAGAUCAAGUAAUAUGAAAGAAAUUUAAAAUACUAAAUAAGGGGGUGGCAAGAUAAAGAUGCUUGUUGUUUAAGCCUGAUGACCUAGGUUGGAGUUCUGAAACUCCUGUAAAGGUAGGAGAUAACCAAAUCUACAACGUUCCCUGGCCACACAUGUAUCGUGGCAAAUGUGCUCCCCCAUACACCA